GUACACGCUGUGACUAGCAUAUCAAUAAGCGGAGGAAAAGAAACUAACAAGGAUUCCCCUAGUAACGGCGAGUGAAGCGGGAAGAGCUCAAAUUUGAAAUCUUAAAGGGUUUCCCUUUACGAAUUGUAGUUUAAAGAAGCGUUUUCUGUUGAGGUUUUGGUAAAAGUUCUUUGGAAUAGGACAUCAUAGAGGGUGAGAAUCCCGUAUUUGACCUUUACUUUCAACUUUGUGAUACACUUUCAAAGAGUCGGAUUGUUUGGGAAUGCAGUCCAAAAUGGGUGGUAAAUUUCAUCUAAAGCUAAAUAUUGGCGAGAGACCGAUAGCGAACAAGUACCGUGAGGGAAAGAUGAAAAGAACUUUGAAAAGAGAGUUAAACAGUACGUGAAAUUGUCAAAAGGGAAGCGUUUGACACCAGUGUUGUUUUUCUGAAAAUCAAUUAAAGAACUGUUUAUGCUAAGUUGUUUAGACUUUAUCAGCUAACUGUUUAGUUUUGAGCUUUUCUUUAAUGCACUUUUCAGUUAACAAGUCAACAUCAAUUUCUUUUGCUGUAAAAAAGCUUGAGGAAGGUGGCUUGAGAUUCGUCUUAAGUGUUUAUAGCCUCUUGCCUAUGCAGUCGGAGAGAUUGAGGUCUGCAGCGUAGAUCCUUCGGGGCUAAAUGCAUUUGUGCUAAGUUAUAGCAUUUUAUAGACAACUUGUUGACUAUGAUUUGUCUUGUAGCUUACUCGCUUAUGUUAUUUUACCUACGCUUAGGAUGUUGAAGAUGUAGCACAUCAU
Molecule: ribosomal RNA, 774 nt
Filed under: uncultured Neocallimastigales
Lineage: Eukaryota; Fungi; Neocallimastigomycota; Neocallimastigomycetes; Neocallimastigales
Description: partial large subunit ribosomal RNA
Rfam family: Eukaryotic large subunit ribosomal RNA
Source: RNAcentral